RNAcentral lists this long non-coding RNA (1244 nucleotides) under Phascolarctos cinereus (koala). RNAcentral's name for it is "lncRNA (ENSPCIG00000003777.2)". The record is from RNAcentral. Lineage: Eukaryota; Metazoa; Chordata; Mammalia; Diprotodontia; Phascolarctidae.
UUGAGGGAUCAGGUUUGGGUUUUUUUUGACCCAAUGUCCUUCAAACAUAGUUUGGGAAGAGAGUGUGUUUUUUUUUUAAACCUGGAAGGAGAAAAAUAAUAGCUAAGCAACCUGCAUUAAAAAUAUUUACUUAAAAACACAAUGUCAGGAUAAGGAAAAAGCAUUUGCUGUGCGCUUGUCAGUCCUGAAGCCCCAGUAGCUGAAGUUAACACAGUGGGACAGAGCCCCUAACUGUCAGUUACAUCUGACAGUUCUGAUCACUUCCACCAGCUUGGCACUUAGAGCAAGCCAUGACUGUUCUCUUUUUCUCUAAGCAACCGCCGUAAUGAGUUGUAACUGUAAACACUUACUGUGAUGGCCUGGAGUCUCUCCUUCACCAGUUCAGUCUCUUCCAUUCUAGAGAUCGAGGUUGGGGAAACCGUAAAGGGAAUGAAUGUGAAGCUACCAUAAAAUGCUUGGUAUAAACUUUGGUCUAAGUCACAGAAAAGUCAGAGGCAUCAAUGGGACACUGUUCUGGAGCUGGCUUCUCAUGAAUGUUCGGUGUGGGUUGAACCUUCAGGACCAAUGCCUACGAUUUCUUAGAUUUUAUAGAGUGUAGGUCUAUCCUGAAACUACGUCAAGAAGGGCACUCUCAGUUCUAGGGCUGGUUUCCGUUUUGACCUCUUCAGUCAUGCAUGACAAAAGGACGAGCCUCCGGAAGAAGGAUGAGAAAGUUUGCAACUGGCUCCAUCAGAAAUUUUAUACAGAUGCUCACCCUUUCUAUUCAAGGUCUGCUUUUGCACCUCCACCCCCAUCAUCAACUCUGGCAGAGAAUUAGAGCAGCAAAGCAGAAAAAAGGUUAUUGAUCCACACAACAAGAUCUCCAUAGCUCCUGAAUUCUUCCUGUCUCUGUUGUUCUCCUGUGGAACUCCCUUCUAAUCUAGGUAGCGCCAUCACAUCAAGACCUCCCAUUCAGGGCUAUGAUUGAAGCAGCAUGCCUGGUUGAUCCCAGGUCAUGUCCUCCAUUCAGUCCCGUUUCCUAAAAGGUCUCAUCCUCUAAGCACCUGAAAACUCCACAUUCUUGAGGUCAGUGAAGCCCAUCAAAACAUACCUUACCUCACAUAGUAAUAACUGACAUUGAUUAUCAGAGGUGUGGUAAACUGAGGUCUUUUUGCCUCCAGGUACUGUAUCUAUUAAACCAGGUACUGGAUUUACUAAACCAUGCUGUGUCAGAGUCAUUUCUGUUCCUGAUGCUUAUUUUUAGG